This 4379-nucleotide ribosomal RNA is filed under the name Triticum aestivum (bread wheat). RNAcentral's name for it is "partial small subunit ribosomal RNA". Lineage: Eukaryota; Viridiplantae; Streptophyta; Magnoliopsida; Poales; Poaceae. The record is from RNAcentral.
GUGUACAGCGAUUGUCUUUUUAGAAGUGGUGUUCUAGGUUCCCUCUCAAGGAAUCGUGCAAGGAAUAAUGAUGAGAGAUCAGAUCUUCUUUUAUUUUCAGUAGCAAAUGUAAUCCCUAGACCAUGGGGGAGCGCAGCGGAGGGGUCCGAUAGGAGGACGGCGGCCGCUCCAGGCGCCACCGCCGCCCGAGCCACGGUUCCGCGAUCCCGCUCGCCUAGACGUCAUCCUAGGGGAACUCCGCCGUCCCCGCAAAGAACACCACGCGGGCACCCGUCGUCCGUCCCGCCGCGGGGGUCGGACACGCCGCCGCCCGUCGCCAGGUCCUGUCGCUACCGGAAGAGAAGCACGUAUCUACCACCGUCGUGAGGUACCUACUUGCACCUACCGAGACGUUCUACCCAGCGCCGUUGGCGCCUAGACCGCAGAGCAGGUCUAGGUGGCGCCGCACCAGAACCGGCCGGCCGCCACGCACCUCCCUGGCCACUCCCAUACCUCCUAGAGAUGGCCCCAUGGUCAACGCCGUAUCCAGAAGUACUGUUCUGAGGCGCGCCAAGAUCGGUUGGUGUUCUAGUCCUGCUGUGCUGAAAGCCACUUUUAGCACGGACUGACGCCAGAACCGCCUGCUACCGCUGCAGAGACUGCAGCAAAGGAAGAGCUCCGUAGCAACAACGUCCAGUGCAGUUGGACUGGCCCUUCAAGGCCCCCUUUGGGAUCUAGACCCAGAUGGCCUAGCCUGCUACUAUUGCAAAGCUACAGCAAGAGGUAGGACCCCCGUAGCAAAACCUGGUUCACGACCGACCUCCCCUGUUCUCCUCCUCACCACAAAGCAGAACAGGUAACUACUGCCGCCUAGAGCCGCCUCACCGCGUCACCUCUGAGCCGCGGACUAACACGCCUCUACCUGAGCGCGUCCUCCCACUGCGACGACCGCAGCACCACUGCAGCCGCCGUCGAUCUGGCCCAUUCCAACUACGUCGUCAUGUUAAGACUUCUACCUAACCGCCGUCCACCGACGCCGCCGGAGUAUGGGCCGUCCGCAGGACCAACUCCUCGUGCGGCCUAACCACCAACGGGUAUGGGCCGUCCGCAGGACCAACCCUGGAGUUCAGAAUCUACAAUCCAAACCAACGUUCCAGACAAACCAUAAUCCGGAUCUGAAAGUCGCGGAGAAGUAGUUGACCUAUUCUUAUCGCUGUAUACAACGAAUCAGCCACCGAAAUCAGAAUGACAACAUACUGAAACAUUCCAGAACAUAGUUAUUAAUUAUUUUACCAGCAUACGUAGGAGAUCUACGUCUCCGGCCCCCAGCAGGAAGAAAAAAAGAAUCUUUUUCUUCUUUUAUUUUCAUGCACUAGAAACCAGUUUCCAGUUAACCGCGCAUACCACGAUGGCAAAACCAUUGAGCGCGCUAACGUGAUAUAGUCACCUACGACGGGCCGGCGUAUCUUGACACAGAGCCAAAGUGGCAUGCAACGUAUUAGCUAGCGGCGAUGUUCAUACAUGUUUGGAUCGAUCCGAGGGCUCGCGGUCGGCUGGGCAGGUUCGUUACCGGUUGUCGUGGCCGCCGCCGUCGCCUCUCGUGGUGCAGACCUAUGGUCGAGUGCCGCAGCCGGCUCGUCCGUUCCGGCGGCGACGCGGCCUCUACACCGACUUAGCGAAGCAAGCGAGGCAGUGCGAUUAGCUCUCCCAACCGUUGCGGAACCCGUGCGACCGGAAGUGGACCCGGUGGCAGCAGGACGAGCCUCCGAUGAGGUUCCUGGAGCCUACGAUGAGGUUCCUGGAGCCUAAGCUAUUACUAAAAACCAUACGCUGCCACUAUCAUAAGGAGCUUCGAUGUUCCUACAAGUGUGCGUUGUUGUCUGACCUAAUGGUUGACAAGAAAUUGUGGUCCCCUCGAAAAUCUGGAUACCAGACCUUACCUGACCAACGCCAUCAUACGGAAAAACUACAAAAGCACUAGGAGAACUUCUUUUUAUCUAUGUACAGACCAUACUCCGAAGAUAACUACUGUCAUUAUGAAAGUUAACCGGCCAAGGACGGACCCGACUUUGACGUGUAUACGUUUGGCGAUGCGGCACGGUGUAGUGAUACCUCCGGGAAUCAACGUUAGAAUAAUGAUCGAGGGAGAGAUAGUCUGGCGUCAGCAGCUAUGUAUAUACCAGUACUACUCCUAGUUUGAGUGUAUCUAGGUAGCUGGUCUACCCAUCACAAGUGUUGUGAUGAUCACGGUCACGAUAACCAUUGUUAUUCGUCCGCUGCCAAAUGUUCUUAGUAGUUUGAUCACCUGUCUUGAGAACCGUCGUUUUUUCAUAAAACCGCAGUCCAAUAAUAUUUGAACACGUACUAACGACACGAUCCCUACGUUUACAUGUACGAUGCGGAUCUACAUAGGCACCUGUAAAGAUGCUCAUACUAUUAGGUUCACACACGGAAUCGCCACAACAGUAAACCGUUGAAGGUCUAAGGUCGUCGACACAACGCAUAGCACGAUCGUUAGAACCCGGAAGUCGUACACGGAUUAAUACCCCUUCUGCUGCUCUUGGAGUUUCGUAGAGAGUCUUAGAAGAUACCCUACCACGAACCUGUUCCUUAGAAGAUAAGAAACCGAACGUACGAGUUCAAGAAAAACAAGUAGGGAGCCUCUAUGGAACAGGUGGUACCUCCCAAAUCUCCAGUCACACCUCAUCUUAGACAGUUACACAUGAUACGUAUGCGGAACCUCUUUACAUACGUCCUCCCACACGAACGAGGUUUCUUCUAGUCGGACUGGUUGAAACGGUACCUAAGAGAUUUGAGCAUAAGUAGGUUCUUAGUCGAGGUGCCAUAAGCAGACUACGUGUCGAAAGACGUUACCGUCGGUUGGUCCCGUGUUGAGGACAGUUUUGAGUGGUGAAGGUGGUUAUGACCUAUGGCUCCGUCUUGUUUUCCAGUACAACUUCAGUAGUGACUUCCAUGACGUUUCCGAGUGUCCGUAACCGUUCCUUUAGCCGUAUUGUGACGACAUGUUCUAUAGUUUUGUAGGGAAAGAUAACUCUUUGGAACGUCUUUAGAACUUUCUGUUGUAUUGGUCGGUCCUUAGCUCUUUCAACCACCGGCCUUAGGACUCCUUGUAACGGUAACUACCCUUGUGUUCCGUCCUGUAUCCAGUGUAAGUUGACUAGUAGUGGUCCGACUUCGUCUGUAAAGAGUUACUUCUUUUAGGGUACUAACGGUUACGACUAGUGAACAGUGUCUUCCGGCGCCCCGUUCGGGACCGUUACAACUGUUGUCUUUCACGGGUUUUAACGAACUAACACAACGUCCUUGGUCUGAAGUAAUUCUUUGACUUUGUAUACUAGAACUAGGUACUACCGUUCAUGUAUAUACACCGUCGUUCAGACAAUGCAUUAGACACAGACGUGAGAGCUGUACUCGAGUCUCUCAACCUGAACUUUCUCGAUAGAGUAUAUAACGCUCUCCACAACCUCUUUUAUUAACUACACCUUCCCCAUCUUGAUCUCUAGUAGUAACCGGAAUCAAGUGAUUAAACGUUUUGGUAAGGACUUCUGAAAUGGGUUCUUGAUCUUCCGCCGGUCUAAUUCGCUUCUAAACACUUUUCCGAGCAGCUACACAACUUACGUUUAUGUCUUGGAUCACGAUUAACAGGACCCUAGUCUUCCCAAUAUGAACUCGUUCAGUAAUUGUACUACCUCAGGUUAAUAGCGAUACGCCUGACAAAGUUACUUAAGUCCUACUCUCUUCGGGAGAACCAGCAGCUUGUUUGUGACAGUGUGCGACUCUUGAUGUUCAAGAAGAACCCACUACGUCCAAAGUACCUCAUGUUGUGUGGAUAGAGGCGAGAACACCAUUCUCGUUUUCUCGAAUACACAACAUUGACUGAUCGAAAUUGGCAUCUAUCAUCGUCUUGAAGACUUGUGUAAACUAAGGAGUAAAGUAUUCGCUCAACAUCCUCUAAUAAGUAAAUGUUAACAUCACUUGACAUACAAUGUCAUGUUAUUCCCUGUGCACCUAAAUCUAAAGCAUCGUUCUUACGCCCACACUCCUCUUUUUCUUGUUAGAACCGAAAUUUCUGUGUUCCACGACUAUAUCAAGAUCUCUAAAGUAUAAACAUUAAACUUGGAGUCUAUUUUUUAUCACCUACAUACACGAAAUAAAAUGUUACUUUUUAUGAAAGUAAACGUCACCCUUGUCCACUAAAAAUAAUAAUACGUAUUAGUUUACCAAGAUAAACAUUGGUCAAUUAAGUAUAGUGACAAAACCGUAUAUGACCAUGUCCCUUUAAGAGUAUUUCAACCCCGGCUACGUCACUUCCCAAACAACAGGUUACAAAUGUUCUUUUAUAUCCUAAUACGUAGAUCCAAUCCUGUUGUUUCAACUUC